UGGAACACUUUUGGCAAAGUUUAGGUACUAGCUGAGUUAAGUGUCUCAAUAAAAAUAUGGGAUUAAGUUUAAGGGUCCACAUUUGUAUUUGGCCAAAUGAAAAAGCAAAAUCAAAUUCAGGACAUUUCUCAGGACGUCGUUUCUUCAUAUGGUUUCUUCAAUUUUCAAGAGUUUCUGGUUUCUUGUUCAGCACUCUUUGAGCUAAAAAUUUCAGAAGUAAAUUGUUCAGUAAAUUAUUCAGCUUUUCACCGACUCUCGGAUUCCGGUAAUGAGCGAAGGAGAGGACGCGGUGCGACGCCGCAACGCGGUGGCAGAAUACCGGAGAAAGCUUCUCCAGCACAAAGAACUCGAAUCCAGAAUCCGAACCGUCAGGGAGAAUUUAAGAGCAUCAAAGAAAGAAUACAACAAAACAGAGGAUGAUUUGAAGUCGCUUCAGAGCGUUGGACAGAUUAUCGGCGAAGUUCUUCGCCCUCUCGACCAUGAACGAAGUAACUUACUAUCUUUCUACAAGCUUCUUCUUAUUAUUACUAUUAACUUUCAGAUUUUUCAAUAAAACCUAUUGAUGAAUUAUGAUAAAUUCAUAUAGCUGAUCUCGACUAUCUUAAGAUUAAGAUGUGGUUGAUUGGUUGAUUUAUAAUAGUUUUGAUGCAUUCACUCAUUGCCUUUCCUUAUUGGUGAAAAUUGAAUUUUGAAUAUUCAGGUGUUGCUGAAUAGUUAAAGUAUCAAGAUAAGAAUACCCAAGCUUUCUGAAUAGUUAAAUAAUGUUUCAACUUUGGGUAUUUCUAGUUUGUGCAGAUCAAGUGGGCGUUUGGACAUAAGAAUUGUAAAAUUCC
Molecule: non-coding RNA, 833 nt
Organism: Nicotiana tabacum (common tobacco)
Lineage: Eukaryota; Viridiplantae; Streptophyta; Magnoliopsida; Solanales; Solanaceae
Source: RefSeq, a predicted model, not a curated record